GAUGAACGCUGGCGGCGUGCCUAAUACAUGCAAGUCGAGCGAACAGAUGAGGAGCUUGCUCCUCUGACGUUAGCGGCGGACGGGUGAGUAACACGUGGAUAACCUACCUAUAAGACUGGGAUAACUACGGGAAACCGGAGCUAAUACCGGAUAAUAUAUUGAACCGCAUGGUUCAAUAGUGAAAGACGGUUUUGCUGUCACUUAUAGAUGGAUCCGCGCCGCAUUAGCUAGUUGGUAAGGUAACGGCUUACCAAGGCAACGAUGCGUAGCCGACCUGAGAGGGUGAUCGGCCACACUGGAACUGAGACACGGUCCAGACUCCUACGGGAGGCAGCAGUAGGGAAUCUUCCGCAAUGGGCGAAAGCCUGACGGAGCAACGCCGCGUGAGUGAUGAAGGUCUUCGGAUCGUAAAACUCUGUUAUUAGGGAAGAACAAAUGUGUAAGUAACUAUGCACGUCUUGACGGUACCUAAUCAGAAAGCCACGGCUAACUACGCG
RNAcentral lists this ribosomal RNA (497 nucleotides) under uncultured bacterium. RNAcentral's name for it is "partial 16S ribosomal RNA". It matches the Rfam family "Bacterial small subunit ribosomal RNA", at positions 28 to 507 of the family's 1533-position model. The record is from RNAcentral.